UACGUAGGGUGCAAGCGUUGUCCGGAAUUAUUGGGCGUAAAGAGCUCGUAGGCGGUUUGUCGCGUCGGCUGUGAAAACCCGAGGCUCAACCUCGGGCCUGCAGUCGAUACGGGCAAACUAGAGUGCGGUAGGGGAGACUGGAAUUCCUGGUGUAGCGGUGAAAUGCGCAGAUAUCAGGAGGAACACCGGCGGCGAAGGCGGGUCUCUGGGCCGUAACUGACGCUGAGGAGCGAAAGCCAGGGGAGCAAACGGG
This 253-nucleotide ribosomal RNA is filed under the name uncultured bacterium. RNAcentral's name for it is "partial 16S ribosomal RNA". It matches the Rfam family "Bacterial small subunit ribosomal RNA", at positions 524 to 776 of the family's 1533-position model. The record is from RNAcentral.